This 927-nucleotide ribosomal RNA is filed under the name uncultured Halobacteriales archaeon. RNAcentral's name for it is "bacterial SSU rRNA". It matches the Rfam family "Archaeal small subunit ribosomal RNA", at positions 1 to 937 of the family's 1478-position model. Lineage: Archaea; Methanobacteriati; Methanobacteriota; Halobacteria; Halobacteriales. The record is from RNAcentral.
UUCCGGUUGAUCCUGCCGGAGGCCAUUGCUAUCGGUGUCCGAUUUAGCCAUGCGAGUCGCACGUAUAACGUGGCAAACGGCUCAGUAACACGUGGCCAAGCUACCCUAUGGACGAUCAUAACCUCGGGAAACUGAGGCUAAUAAUCGAUAGUGCUCCCGAGCUGGAAUGCUGGGAGCAUGAAAUGCUCCGGCGCCAUAGGAUGCGGCUGCGGCCGAUUAGGUAGAUGGUGGGGUAACGGCCCACCAUGCCGAUAAUCGGUACGGGUAGUGAGAGCUAGAGCCCGGAGACGGACUCUGAGACAAGAGUCCGGGCCCUACGGGGCGCAGCAGGCGCGAAACCUUUACACUGCACGACAGUGCGAUAGGGGGACACCGAGUGCGAGGGCAUAGAGCCCUCGCUUUUGUGUACCGUAAGGUGGUACACGAAUAAGGGCUGGGCAAGACCGGUGCCAGCCGCCGCGGUAACACCGGCAGCCCAAGUGAUGGCCGAUAUUAUUGGGCCUAAAGCGUCCGUAGCUGGCCGAGUAAGUCUUUCGGGAAAUCCGCUGGCCUAACCAGUGGGCGUCCGGAGGAUACUGCUCGGCUUGGGACCGGGAGACCAAAGGGGUACGUCCGGGGUAGGAGUGAAAUCCCGUAAUCCUGGACGGACCACCGGUUGCGAAAGCGCCUUUGGAGAACGGAUCCGACAGUGAGGGACGAAAGCUAGGGUCUCGAACCGGAUUAGAUACCCGGGUAGUCCUAGCCGUAAACGAUGAUCGCUAGGUGUGGCACAGGCUACGAGCCUGUGCUGUGCCGUAGGGAAGCCGUGAAGCGAUCCGCCUGGGAAGUACGUCCGCAAGGAUGAAACUUAAAGGAAUUGGCGGGGGAGCACUACAACCGGAGGAGCCUGCGGUUUAAUUGGAUUCAACGCCGGAAAUCACUAGUGAA